Molecule: ribosomal RNA, 444 nt
Filed under: uncultured soil bacterium
Lineage: Bacteria
Description: bacterial SSU rRNA
Rfam family: Bacterial small subunit ribosomal RNA
Source: RNAcentral
AGAACGAACGCUGGCGGCAUGCCUAACACAUGCAAGUCGAACGAGACCUUCGGGUCUAGUGGCGCACGGGUGCGUAACGCGUGGGAAUCUGCCCUUCGGUUCGGAAUAACAGUUAGAAAUGACUGCUAAUACCGGAUGAUGUCUUCGGACCAAAGAUUUAUCGCCGAGGGAUGAGCCCGCGUAGGAUUAGCUAGUUGGUGAGGUAAAAGCUCACCAAGGCGACGAUCCUUAGCUGGUCUGAGAGGAUGAUCAGCCACACUGGGACUGAGACACGGCCCAGACUCCUACGGGAGCAGCAGUGGGGAAUAUUGGACAAGUGGGACGAAAGCCUGAUCCAGCAAUGCCGCGUGAGUGAUGAAGGCCUUAGGUUGUAAAGCUCGUUUACCGGGAUGAUAUGACAGUACGGAGAAUAACGCCCGACUAACUCCGACGCCAGCAGCCGAC